This 385-nucleotide ribosomal RNA is filed under the name uncultured bacterium. RNAcentral's name for it is "bacterial SSU rRNA". It matches the Rfam family "Bacterial small subunit ribosomal RNA", at positions 370 to 772 of the family's 1533-position model. The record is from RNAcentral.
AAUGGAGGAAACUCUGAUGUAGCAACGCCGCGUGGAGGAUGACACAUUUCGGUGCGUAAACUCCUUUUAUGUGAGAAGAUAAUGACGGUAUCACAUGAAUAAGCACCGGCUAACUCCGUGCCAGCAGCCGCGGUAAUACGGAGGGUGCAAGCGUUACUCGGAAUCACUGGGCGUAAAGCGCGCGCAGGCGGCUUUGUAAGUUGGAUGUGAAAUCCUAUGGCUCAACCAUAGAACUGCAUCCAAAACUACUUAGCUAGAGUCUGGGAGGGGAAGAUGGAAUUAGUGGUGUAGGGGUAAAAUCCGUAGAGAUCACUAGGAAUACCAAAAGCGAAGGCGAUCUUCUGGAACAGUACUGACGCUGAGGCGCGAAAGCGUGGGGAGCAAA